GCCCCCAUCGUCUAGUGGACCAGGACGCAGCCCUUUCAAGGCUAAAACCGGGGUUCGAAUCCCCGUGGGGGCACCA
RNAcentral lists this transfer RNA (76 nucleotides) under Chloroflexota bacterium. Its description in RNAcentral is "Chloroflexi bacterium tRNA-Glu". It matches the Rfam family "tRNA". From Rfam's summary of the family: Transfer RNA (tRNA) molecules are approximately 80 nucleotides in length. Their secondary structure includes four short double-helical elements and three loops (D, anti-codon, and T loops). Further hydrogen bonds mediate the characteristic L-shaped molecular structure. tRNAs have two regions of fundamental functional importance: the anti-codon, which is responsible for specific mRNA codon recognition, and the 3' end, to which the tRNAs corresponding amino acid is attached (by aminoacyl-tRNA synthetases). tRNAs cope with the degeneracy of the genetic code in two manners: having more than one tRNA (with a specific anti-codon) for a particular amino acid; and 'wobble' base-pairing, i.e. permitting non-standard base-pairing at the 3rd anti-codon position. Lineage: Bacteria; Bacillati; Chloroflexota. The record is from RNAcentral. RNAcentral also lists the same sequence under 1 other name.